ACGAACGCUGGCGGCGUGCUUAACACAUGCAAGUCGAACGGAAAGGCCCUGCUUUUGUGGGGUGCUCGCGUGGCGAACGGGUGAGUAACACGUGAGUAACCUGCCCUUGACUUUGGGAUAACUUCAGGAAACUGGGGCUAAUACCGGAUAGGAGCUCCUGCUGCGUGGUGGGGGUUGGAAAGUUUCGGCGGUUGGGGAUGGACUCGCGGCUUAUCAGCUUGUUGGUGGGGUAGUGGCUUACCAAGGCUUUGACGGGUAGCCGGCCUGAGAGGGUGACCGGCCACAUUGGGACUGAGAUACGGCCCAGACUCCUACGGGAGGCAGCAGUGGGGAAUAUUGCACAAUGGGCGGAAGCCUGAUGCAGCAACGCCGCGUGCGGGAUGACGGCCUUCGGGUUGUAAACCGCUUUCGCCUGUGACGAGGCGUGAGUGACGGUAAUGGGUAAAGAAGCACCGGCUAACUACGUG
This 467-nucleotide ribosomal RNA is filed under the name uncultured bacterium. RNAcentral describes it as "partial 16S ribosomal RNA". It matches the Rfam family "Bacterial small subunit ribosomal RNA", at positions 29 to 507 of the family's 1533-position model. The record is from RNAcentral.